This 372-nucleotide ribosomal RNA is filed under the name uncultured bacterium. Its description in RNAcentral is "bacterial SSU rRNA". It matches the Rfam family "Bacterial small subunit ribosomal RNA", at positions 917 to 1289 of the family's 1533-position model. The record is from RNAcentral.
GGGCCCGCACAAAGCGGUGGAGCAUGUGGUUUAAUUCGAUGAUACGCGAGGAACCUUACCAGGGCUUAAAUGUUAGGUGACAGAUCUAGAAAUAGAUUUUUCUUCGGACACUUAACAAGGUGCUGCAUGGUUGUCGUCAGCUCGUGCCGUGAGGUGUCAGGUUAAGUCCUAUAACGAGCGCAACCCCCUGUUGUUAGUUGCCAGCGAGUAAUGUCGGGAACUCUAGCAAGACUGCCAGUGCAAACUGUGAGGAAGGUGGGGAUGACGUCAAAUCAUCACGGCCCUUACGUCCUGGGCUACACACGUGCUACAAUGGUAUCUACAACAGGAAGCAAGACGGCGACGUUAAGCAAAUCCUUAAAAAGAUACCUC